UUAUCUUUUAUUUUGUGAUAGUGUUAUUUUAUCUUUGGGGGAAAUAUAUAAAUUGUAUUAUGUUUUUUAAUUUAUGAAUUUUGACAAUGAUGUAUUUUAUUAAGUUCCGAAGAUUUCGUUGUGGUAAAUACUAGUGCCAGUAAUCACGGUUAUACUAGAGUGGCUGAGAAUAAAUAAGUUUGUGUGGUUUAAUUGUGGUUUAUAUGGGUAUAAUUAGUUAAUAAGACCAGAAAUAGAUAUAGCUAAGUGUGAGAAUUGGAUUAGGUACCCAAGUAUCGGUUUAUAUAUUUAUGUAGUAUUAUUAUAAAGAAGAAAUUGAAAAAUUAGGCGGUUCAUUAAAUAUAGGGGAGUUUGAGAUUUUACUGAUGCUCCUCGUUAUAUUUUGUUUAAUUGAGAUUUUGUGUAUGUCCGUUUAUACGAUUAUAUAAUGUAUUUAGUUGUGAUUUUAGGUCGCCAUGCAUUUGGUUAAGAAUUAUUGAGCUACAAUAUUAAAUGAGGUUUGGAUCAAGAAUUGUGAUUUGUGUGAAAGUGGACUUAUUAGUAAGUAUAAGUUAAAAGUUUGUACUGAAAGUUUUAUUGGUGAGAGUACUAACCGCCCGCCACCAAAAAUGUAAGUUUUUGUAAGGCGUAACAAGGUAGCUUCUCUAGAAAGAGAAGCUGGAUGUAGUGAUA
Molecule: non-coding RNA, 672 nt
Filed under: Halocynthia hilgendorfi ssp. n. KRK-2020
Lineage: Eukaryota; Metazoa; Chordata; Ascidiacea; Stolidobranchia; Pyuridae
Source: RNAcentral